RNAcentral lists this transfer RNA (98 nucleotides) under Hapsidospora chrysogenum ATCC 11550. Its description in RNAcentral is "Acremonium chrysogenum ATCC 11550 tRNA". It matches the Rfam family "tRNA". From Rfam's summary of the family: Transfer RNA (tRNA) molecules are approximately 80 nucleotides in length. Lineage: Eukaryota; Fungi; Ascomycota; Sordariomycetes; Hypocreales; Bionectriaceae. The record is from Rfam by way of RNAcentral.
UCCGGUAUGGUGUAGUGGCUAACAUUUGACGCUCUCAUCGAGCAGUUCUUCUGCGAGAAAGCACCGUCAAGCCCUGGGUUCGAUUCCCAGUACCGGAG